Molecule: long non-coding RNA, 1471 nt
Filed under: Felis catus (domestic cat)
Lineage: Eukaryota; Metazoa; Chordata; Mammalia; Carnivora; Felidae
Description: lncRNA (ENSFCAG00000040280.2)
Source: RNAcentral
CUUAAAUUCACUUUGCAUAAUAUUUUCAGGACAUAUCUUUUAUAAAAUACAAAUCAUGUCUAUCAAUUCCAUUGUAUAAAUCCUUUGUUUCCAAUUUACUAUGGAAACCAAUUCAAAAUUCUUAAAAUGGCCUACAAUACCCAUUACAAUCUGGCUCUCCCUACUUCUUUAAUCUCACCCCUUAGCACAGUGCCCUAUAUUCUCUCAGCUUUCACUAUAAUUCCAUGAAUAUUCCAAACCAUCUGCUGGAAAUGCUCUCCCAGGUUAUUAAGACCUAGGUAAUCAGCAUGUAUUGUUCAGAGGUCAGCAUUAAUACCAUCUCCUUAGAGAAGCCAUGCUGAUUGCUUAUGACAUAAUUUGCCACUACAUUCUUGAUCUUGGUAGUUUUUGCUUUGUAUUAGUUUUUAAUUUUUUAAUGUUUAUUUAUUUCUGAGAGAGAGACAGAGACAGAGUGCAAGCAGGAGAAGGGCAGAGAAAGAGAGAGAGAUGGAAUCUGAAGCAGGCUUCAGGCUCUGAGACUGGAGCACAGGCUCUGUCAGCACAGUCUGAUGUGGGGCUUGAACUCAGGAACCACGAGAUCAUGACCUGAGCCAAAGUCAGACACUUAACCCACUGAGUCACCUAGGCUUCCUGGAUCUUGGUAGUUUUUAAAAUUCAUAACAAUUGAGUAUGUUAUUCACAGUUUUGCUUAAUUCCCAAUUUCCCAUUCUAUUGCAAGCUCCAUGAAGACAUGAAAUCAUGCCAAGCCUGAUCACCUGAAUGCCUCAAAAUAUCUGCUGCAAUGCCUGAUAUCUAGCAAAGACCCAAAUGUUUGAUAAUUGAAUGAACAGAAACAAUCAACGAACAAUUGUUAGAGCCAAGUCUAUGUUCCCCAACUGAUAUUUCAAUUUUAUGAAGUCCAUUCAAAAUUCCAGCUGCUGAGAGGAAAUUUGAGUAAUGUCUCUUGGAAGAAGCAAGUACCAUCCUGCCACAAAGCCCUCAUCAAGACAUCUCAAGCUCCCCAGAGUGGUUCUCCUUCCUCCAUCCCUUUUUCACUCUACUUGGCCUGGUGAACCCCAAAUCACCCUCAAGUCUGCAAACACUUUGCAUGAGGAAGAUCCCUCUUUAUAAGUGUAAUUUAAUAAUUAUUUGCAUAAUCUGUCAUUUAGUGUCUGUUGUUUAAGCUACACUAUAGCUCAGUGGAAGCAAAUCACUAGCAUUUAGAAGUGCCCAACCAACAUUUUUAGGGGUGCAUAGGUGGCUCAGUUGGUCGAGUAUCUGACUUUUGAUUUCGGCUUGGGUUGUGAUCUCAUGGUUCAUGAGUUCAAGCCCCGUGUUGGGCUCACACUGAGAGUGUAGAGCUGCUUGGGAUUCUCUGUCUCCCUCUCUCUCUCUGCACCCCCCCCCCACCUUGAGGACACACAUGCCUGCUCUCUCUCUGUCUCCCGAUAGAUAAAUAAGCUUAAAGAAAUAAAACCGAAGUGCCCGAUCA